AGGUGCGAUCAUACCAGCACUAAUGCACCGGAUCCCAUCAGAACUCCGCAGUUAAGGGUGCUUGGGCUAGAGUAGUACUAGAAUGGUUGAACUCCUGGGAAGUCCUCUUGUUGCACCUCUUU
This 122-nucleotide ribosomal RNA is filed under the name Vigna angularis (adzuki bean). The record is from RNAcentral. Lineage: Eukaryota; Viridiplantae; Streptophyta; Magnoliopsida; Fabales; Fabaceae.